UACGAAGGGGGCUAGCGUUGCUCGGAAUCACUGGGCGUAAAGCGCACGUAGGCGGACUCUUAAGUCGGUGGUGAAAUCCUGGAGCUCAACUCCAGAACUGCCUUUGAUACUGGCGAUCUUGAGUUCGGGAGAGGUGAGUGGAACUGCGAGUGUAGAGGUGAAAUUCGUAGAUAUUCGCAAGAACACCAGUGGCGAAGGCGGCUCACUGGCCCGGUACUGACGCUGAGGUGCGAAAGCGUGGGGAGCAAACAGG
RNAcentral lists this ribosomal RNA (253 nucleotides) under uncultured bacterium. RNAcentral's name for it is "partial 16S ribosomal RNA". It matches the Rfam family "Bacterial small subunit ribosomal RNA", at positions 524 to 776 of the family's 1533-position model. The record is from RNAcentral.